Molecule: ribosomal RNA, 492 nt
Filed under: uncultured bacterium
Lineage: Bacteria
Description: partial 16S ribosomal RNA
Rfam family: Bacterial small subunit ribosomal RNA
Source: RNAcentral
AGUGAACGCUGGCGGUAGGCCUAACACAUGCAAGUCGAACGGCAGCACAGUAAGGGCUUGCUCUUACGGGUGGCGAGUGGCGGACGGGUGGGGAAUACAUCGGAAUCUACUUUUUCGUGGGGGAUAACGUAGGGAAACUUACGCUAAUACCGCAUACGACCUACGGGUGAAAGCAGGGGAUCUUCGGACCUUGCGCGAUUGAAUGAGCCGAUGUCGGAUUAGCUAGUUGGCGGGGUAAAGGCCCACCAAGGCGACGAUCCGUAGCUGGUCUGAGAGGAUGAUCAGCCACACUGGAACUGAGACACGGUCCAGACUCCUACGGGAGGCAGCAGUGGGGAAUAUUGGACAAUGGGCGCAAGCCUGAUCCAGCCAUACUGCGUGGGUGAAGAAGGCCUUCGGGUUGUAAAGCCCUUUUGUUGGGAAAGAAAAGCAGCAGGUUAAUACCCCGCUGUUCUGACGGUACCCAAAGAAUAAGCACCGGCUAACUUCGUG